AGGUAUAGAACACCACUUAAUGAUAGGACAGGUAGGUAUAGAACACCACUUAAUGAUAGGACAGGUAGGUAUAGAACACCACUUAAUGAUAGGACAGGUAGGUAUAGAACACCACUUAAUGAUAGGACAGGUAGGUAUAGAACACCACUUAAUGAUAGGACAGGUAGGUAUAGAACACCACUUAAUGAUAGGACAGGUAGGUAUAGAACACCACUUAAUGAUAGGACAGGUAGGUAUA
Long non-coding RNA from Pecten maximus, 238 nucleotides. RefSeq lists it as uncharacterized. The record is from RefSeq and is a predicted model, not a curated record. The transcript has 3 exons. Lineage: Eukaryota; Metazoa; Mollusca; Bivalvia; Pectinida; Pectinidae.